UACGUAGGGUGCAAGCGUUGUCCGGAAUUACUGGGCGUAAAGCGCGUGUAGGCGGAUUGCUAAGUCGGGCGUGAAAUCCCCAGGCUCAACCUGGGAACUGCGCUCGAAACUGACAGUCUCGAGUAUCGGAGAGGGUGGCGGAAUUCCUGGUGUAGAGGUGAAAUUCGUAGAUAUCAGGAGGAACACCGGUGGCGAAGGCGGCCACCUGGACGAUUACUGACGCUGAGACGCGAAAGCGUGGGGAGCAAGCAGG
Molecule: ribosomal RNA, 253 nt
Filed under: uncultured bacterium
Lineage: Bacteria
Description: partial 16S ribosomal RNA
Rfam family: Bacterial small subunit ribosomal RNA
Source: RNAcentral